This 1369-nucleotide ribosomal RNA is filed under the name Legionella pneumophila. RNAcentral describes it as "partial 23S ribosomal RNA". It matches the Rfam family "Bacterial large subunit ribosomal RNA", at positions 1 to 1402 of the family's 2925-position model. The record is from RNAcentral. Lineage: Bacteria; Pseudomonadati; Pseudomonadota; Gammaproteobacteria; Legionellales; Legionellaceae.
UUAUAUGGUCAAGAAGAGAAGCGCAAACGGUGGAUGCCUUGGCAGUAAGAGGCGAAGAAGGACGUGGAAUCCUGCGAAAAGCUAUGGGGAGCUGGAAACGAGCGAUGAGCCAUAGAUGUCCGAAUGGGGGAACCCGGCUGCAGCGAUGCGGUCAUUUGCAUUUGAAUACAUAGGAUGCAAAGGCGAACUCGGGGAACUGAAACAUCUAAGUACCCGAAGGAAAAGAAAUCAAGAGAGAUUCUCCAAGUAGCGGCGAGCGAACGGGGAGGAGCCUGGCGUGAUUUAUUAUUGAACUGAGUAGAACAAUUUGGGAAAGUUGGCGAUAGAGGGUGAAAGCCCCGUAUACGAAGGUUUGAUGAGGAACUAGGCACGCGAACAAGUAGGCCGGGACACGUGAAAUCCUGGUUGAAGAUGGGUGGACCAUCAUCCAAGGCUAAAUACUACUUACUGACCGAUAGUGAACCAGUACCGUGAGGGAAAGGUGAAAAGAACCCCGGAGAGGGGAGUGAAAUAGAAUCUGAAACCGUUUGCGUACAAGCAGUGGGAGCAUGGUUUAGGCUGUGUGACUGCGUACCUUUUGUAUAAUGGGUCAGCGAGUUACUUUCAGUGGCGAGGUUAACUGAAUAAGGGAGCCGUAGAGAAAUCGAGUCUGAAUAGGGCGAUAGUCGCUGGGAGUAGACCCGAAACCGGGCGAUCUAGCCAUGUGCAGGAUGAAGGUUGGGUAACACCAACUGGAGGUCCGAACCGGGUAAUGUUGAAAAAUUAUCGGAUGACGUGUGGCUAGGAGUGAAAGGCUAAUCAAGCCCGGAGAUAGCUGGUUCUCCCCGAAAGCUAUUUAGGUAGCGCCUCGUGAAUGAUUACUGGGGGUAGAGCACUGUUUCGGCUAGGGGGCUGUCAUGGCUUACCAAACCGAUGCAAACUCCGAAUACCGGCUAAUUGAAUCACGGGAGACACACGGCGGGUGCUAACGUCCGUCGUGGAGAGGGAAACAACCCAGACCGCCAGCUAAGGUCCCCAAGUACUAGUUAAGUGGGAAACGAUGUGGGAAGGCAUAGACAGCCAGGAGGUUGGCUUAGAAGCAGCCACCCUUUAAAGAAAGCGUAAUAGCUCACUGGUCGAGUCGGCCUGCGCGGAAGAUGUAACGGGGCUAAAACUAGUCACCGAAGCUGCGGAUGUGCGCGAAGGCGCACGUGGUAGGGGAGCGUUCUGUAGGCUGAUGAAGGUGCAUUGAGAAGUGUGCUGGAGGUAUCAGAAGUGCGAAUGCUGACAUGAGUAACGAUAAUGUGGGUGAAAAGCCCACACGCCGGAAGUCCCAGGUUUCCUGCACGACGUUAAUCGGAGCAGGGUGAGUCGGCCCCUAAGGCGAGGC